AUUGAACGCUGGCGGCAUGCUUUACACAUGCAAGUCGAACGGUAACAGGCCGCAAGGUGCUGACGAGUGGCGAACGGGUGAGUAAUGCAUCGGAACGUGCCCAGUCGUGGGGGAUAACUACUCGAAAGAGUAGCUAAUACCGCAUACGAUCUAUGGAUGAAAGCGGGGGACCGUAAGGCCUCGCGCGAUUGGAGCGGCCGAUGUCAGAUUAGGUAGUUGGUGGGGUAAAGGCUCACCAGGCCAACGAUCUGUAGCUGGUCUGAGAGGACAACCAGCCACACUGGAACUGAGACACGGCCCAGACUCCUAGGGGAGGCAGCAGUGGGGAAUUUUGGAAAAUGGGCGCAAGCCUGAUCCAGCAAUGCCGCGUGCAGGAAGAAGGCCUUCGGGUGGUAAACUGCUUUUGUAGGGAACGAAACGGCUCUGGUUAAUACCCGGGGCUAAUGACGGUACCGUAAGAAUAAGCACCGGCUAACUACGU
This 481-nucleotide ribosomal RNA is filed under the name uncultured bacterium. Its description in RNAcentral is "partial 16S ribosomal RNA". It matches the Rfam family "Bacterial small subunit ribosomal RNA", at positions 30 to 506 of the family's 1533-position model. The record is from RNAcentral.